AGUGAACGCUGGCGGUAGGCCUAACACAUGCAAGUCGAACGGCAGCACAGGAGAGCUCGCUCUCUGGGUGGCGAGUGGCGGACGGGUGAGGAAUACAUCGGAAUCUACUCUGUCGUGGGGGAUAACGUAGGGAAACUUACGCUAAUACCGCAUACGACCUACGGGUGAAAGCAGGGGAGCUUCGGACCUUGCGCGAGUGAAUGAGCCGAUGUAGGAUUAGCUAGCUGGCGGGGUAAAGGCCCACCAAGGCGACGAUCCGUAGCUGGUCUGAGAGGAUAAUGAGCCAGACUGGAGCAGCGACACGCUCCAGAGUCCUACGGGAGGCAGCAGUGGGGAAGAUUGUACGAUGGGCGCAAGCCUGAUCCAGCCAUACCGCGUGGGUGAAGAAGGCCUUCGCGUUGUAAAGCCCUUUUGUUGGGAAAGAAAUCCAGCUGGCUAAUACCCUGUUGGGAUGACGGUACCCAAAGAAUAAGCACCGGCUAACUUCGUGCCAGCCGCCGCGGUAA
RNAcentral lists this ribosomal RNA (506 nucleotides) under uncultured bacterium. RNAcentral's name for it is "partial 16S ribosomal RNA". It matches the Rfam family "Bacterial small subunit ribosomal RNA", at positions 29 to 523 of the family's 1533-position model. The record is from RNAcentral.